Molecule: ribosomal RNA, 655 nt
Filed under: uncultured soil bacterium
Lineage: Bacteria
Description: bacterial SSU rRNA
Rfam family: Bacterial small subunit ribosomal RNA
Source: RNAcentral
AUGCAAGUCGAACGGCAGCACGGGAGCAAUCCUGGUGGCGAGUGGCGAACGGGUGAGUAAUACAUCGGAACGUGUCCUGGAGUGGGGGAUAGCCCGGCGAAAGCCGGAUUAAUACCGCAUACGCUCUAUGGAGGAAAGCGGGGGAUCUUCGGACCUCGCGCUCAAGGGGCGGCCGAUGGCGGAUUAGCUAGUUGGUGGGGUAAAGGCCUACCAAGGCGACGAUCCGUAGCUGGUCUGAGAGGACGACCAGCCACACUGGGACUGAGACACGGCCCAGACUCCUACGGGAGGCAGCAGUGGGGAAUUUUGGACAAUGGGGGAAACCCUGAUCCAGCAAUGCCGCGUGUGUGAAGAAGGCCUUCGGGUUGUAAAGCACUUUUGUCCGGAAAGAAAUCCUUUGGGCUAAUACCCCGGGGGGAUGACGGUACCGGAAGAAUAAGCACCGGCUAACUACGUGCCAGCAGCCGCGGUAAUACGUAGGGUGCGAGCGUUAAUCGGAAUUACUGGGCGUAAAGCGUGCGCAGGCGGUUCGCUAAGACCGAUGUGAAAUCCCCGGGCUUAACCUGGGAACUGCAUUGGUGACUGGCGGGCUAGAGUAUGGCAGAGGGGGGUAGAAUUCCACGUGUAGCAGUGAAAUGCGUAGAGAUGUGGAGGA